Molecule: unclassified non-coding RNA, 570 nt
Filed under: ectomycorrhizal isolate ECM 224
Lineage: Eukaryota; Fungi
Description: ITS1, 5.8S rRNA, ITS2
Rfam family: 5.8S ribosomal RNA (bases 188-343)
Source: RNAcentral
GAGUUGACGCUGGCCCUCUAACAGGGGCAUGUGCACGCUCUGUUUGCACAUCCACUCACACCUGUGCACCCUUCGUAGUUCUGUGGCCUGUGGGGCUCUGCCCUCCUGCCGCGGUUCUAUGUCUUUACACAUACACUAUGUAAUAAAGUCUCAUGGAAUGUGUGCCGCGUUUAACGCAAUACAAUACAACUUUCAGCAACGGAUCUCUUGGCUCUCGCAUCGAUGAAGAACGCAGCGAAAUGCGAUAAGUAAUGUGAAUUGCAGAAUUCAGUGAAUCAUCGAAUCUUUGAACGCACCUUGCGCCCUUUGGCCAUUACCGAAGGGCAUGCCUGUUUGAGUAUCAUGAACACCUCAACUCACAUGGCUUGCCAUGAUGAGCUUGGACUUUGGGGGUCUUGCUGGCCUGCGGUCGGCUCCUCUCAAAUGAAUCAACUUGCCAGUGUUUGGUGGCAUCACAGGUGUGAUAACUAUCUGCGCUUGGGGGGUUUCUAUCAAUAACCUCCAGUAGAUGGGGGGGUUCCGCUUGGAAGCUCAUAAAAUGUCUCUCCCUAAAGUGGAAGGACAGCUUUU